RNAcentral lists this ribosomal RNA (253 nucleotides) under uncultured bacterium. RNAcentral's name for it is "partial 16S ribosomal RNA". It matches the Rfam family "Bacterial small subunit ribosomal RNA", at positions 524 to 776 of the family's 1533-position model. The record is from RNAcentral.
UACGAAGGGGGCGAGCGUUGUUCGGAAUUACUGGGCGUAAAGGGCGCGUAGGCGGCGACUCAAGUCAGACGUGAAAGUCCUGGGCUUAACCUGGGGACUGCAUUUGAUACUGGGUUGCUUGAAUUCGGGAGAGGAUAGCGGAAUUCCCAGUGUAGAGGUGAAAUUCGUAGAUAUUGGGAAGAACACCGGUGGCGAAGGCGGCUAUCUGGACCGACAUUGACGCUGAGGCGCGAAAGCGUGGGGAGCAAACAGG